This 445-nucleotide ribosomal RNA is filed under the name uncultured bacterium. RNAcentral describes it as "bacterial SSU rRNA". It matches the Rfam family "Bacterial small subunit ribosomal RNA", at positions 330 to 792 of the family's 1533-position model. The record is from RNAcentral.
GCCAGACUCCUACGGGAGGCAGCAGUGGGGAAUAUUGCACAAUGGGGGGAACCCUGGUGCAGCGACGCCGCGUGGGUGAAGAAGCGCCUCGGCGCGUAAAGCCCUGUCAGCAGGGAAGAAAAUGACGGUACCUGAAGAAGAAGCCCCGGCUAACUACGUGCCAGCAGCCGCGGUAAUACGUAGGGGGCAAGCGUUAUCCGGAUUUACUGGGUGUAAAGGGGGCGCAGACGGCGAUGCAAGCCAGGGGUGAAAGCCCGGGGCCCAACCCCGGGACUGCUCUUGGAACUGCGUGGCUGGAGUGCAGGAGGGGCAGGCGGAAUCCCUAGUGUAGCGGUGAAAUGCGUAGAUAUUAGGAGGAACACCAGUGGCGAAGGCGGCCUGCUGGACGAUGACUGACGUUGAGGCUCGAAAGCGUGGGGAGCAAACAGGAUUAGAUACCCCGGUA